CAUAAUUAUUUCCUGGAUUUUGUAUCAUCAUAGUCCCUAAAUGUAUGUAGAAAUGGGAUUCAAAUCGAAAACAUUUUUCUGGCGGAGGACCCCUAGACCCCCUAUUUUUGUGCGCCCCCCCUCUU
Sander lucioperca (pikeperch) is the source of this 125-nucleotide long non-coding RNA. RefSeq lists it as uncharacterized. The transcript has 3 exons. The record is from RefSeq and is a predicted model, not a curated record. Lineage: Eukaryota; Metazoa; Chordata; Actinopteri; Perciformes; Percidae.